GACGAACGCUGGCGGCGUGCUUAACACAUGCAAGUCGAACGAAGUGGCAAACGGGUGAGUAACACGUAAACAACCUGCCUUCAGGAUGGGGACAACAGACGGAAACGACUGCUAAUACCGAAUACCUGAAGAGGGGUUUGCGUCUGAUUAGGUAGUUGGUGAGGUAACGGCCCACCAAGCCGACGAUCAGUAGCCGGUCUGAGAGGAUGAACGGCCACACUGGAACUGAGACACGGUCCAGACUCCUACGGGAGGCAGCAGUGGGGAAUCUUCCGCAAUGGGCGAAAGCCUGACGGAGCAACGCCGCGUGAGUGAUGACGGCCUUCGGGUUGUAAAGCUCUGUGAUCGGGGACGCGGUACCCGAAUAGCAAGCCACGGCUAACUACGUGCCAGCAGCCGCGGUAAUACGUAGGUGGCAAGCGUUGUCCGGAAUUAUUGGGCGUAAAGCGCGCGCAGGCGGUUCUUAAGUCCAUCUUAAAAGCGCGGGGCUUAACCCCGUGAUGGGAUGGAAACUGA
This 516-nucleotide ribosomal RNA is filed under the name uncultured bacterium. RNAcentral's name for it is "bacterial SSU rRNA". It matches the Rfam family "Bacterial small subunit ribosomal RNA", at positions 28 to 636 of the family's 1533-position model. The record is from RNAcentral.